CNCGCCUCCCUCCGCGCCAUCAGACGUCCUACGGGAGGCAGCGAGUUGGGGAAUUUUGACGCGAAACUGGGGGAAACCCUGACGUAGCAACGCCGCGUGGAGGAUAGAACGUCCCGUUGGGACGUAAACUCCUUUCGACUGGGAAGAUAAUGACGGUACCAGUGGAAGAAGCCCCGGCUAACUUCGUGCCAGCAGCCGCGGUAAUAC
Molecule: ribosomal RNA, 207 nt
Filed under: uncultured bacterium
Lineage: Bacteria
Description: partial 16S ribosomal RNA
Rfam family: Bacterial small subunit ribosomal RNA
Source: RNAcentral